AUAAGAGCAGAGGAGUGAAGUAGUGAAACCUGUCACAGAACAGAAGAUGGCUCGACAGCUGUGUUGAUGGGAGAUGAGGAGCUCACAUUCUAAUGAAGAAGACAACACAUGGUAGAGGAGGUUCCACCUGCAAGUCAGGUGAAGAAGUCCCUUGGUCUAUAAGAUUAUUACCAAGUAACCUGGUGAACAACUUCGCUGAGAAGAUGAACAGAGCAAUCUUCGUGGUGUUACGUUUUGUUAUGCAAUCAUAUAUGAACUUAACAUACUGCUAGAAGACGCUUUGCUUAAGCAGAGAGCUCAAGGCUGAAUUUUGCUGUAGCAAGUUAAAUGGUUUUCUAUAAUCAACAAGCUGACCCAUCAAGCUCCCCUUUUCUCUGUGACUUUCGGACAGUUGUGGGAUUAUGAAGAAGAUCUAGUCUGCUGCAGGAAAUCGUUGAGAGACCUGCCUCUCCUUAUGCUCCUCAGGGCUGCCUUGGAUGCUUGCAAAAACCUUUCUCAUAAGGACUUUUAUAGAAGGGGGAAGUAGGCAUAUGGUUCGGCAGGGGCUGAUGUCUACCUGGUUACCUUUUUGGGUAAAAAUCCCAUCCAUAGUUUUCCAUUGUUUUGAAAUUUUCCCUUCUUUGUGAUACAUUUAAAAUCAUUCCUGAGUGCCUUUGAAAUUCUGUUUUUCUGGUGCAGGUUUCUUCUGCGAAUCCCUGUCCUAGGUCCUCAUACUGAAUAAAUGCCAGGGCUGCUUUGUCAGAGAAGCAGUACAACGGGUAUUGAGGUGGUGAGGCUCGCUCGAAUGGGGCCUUUCCAACUACUGUCGCUUACUAGAAUCGAUUACCAUAGAGAUGCUGGCCAAUCAGUGCCACUUGAUGCUUAUUUUUUUCUUCAACCAUUUUCAGCUACAGCUAUUCUUUGGAUGAUCUAGUUUAAUGGGAUCUCACACCAAAUGGUGAGGCUCAUUUCCCCUUCAACUGACUUUUGCCCUUUUGGGAGGUGAUGCUGCUUGUAAUCUUCUAUGCUUCUCCUCCAUAUUAUUUUGUAGAUGGUCUUUUACUCUAAACCAGUGUUGCUGUUGGCCACACUUUGUAGGAUCAAAUGUUUUCCGUCUGAGGUGCUUUGUGGUUUUUUAGACUUAUUCAUUGUGCUUACAGUUUUACUUCAGUUAAACUUCUUAAAGAAAUGAUGAUAAUCUAAGUCAAUGUCUUUUUUCCAUCUUUUUCUUUUUCUUUUUUGAGUUGACAGGUGAUUUAAACAGCCUAGGUUGGAGCUGUUGUAGC
This is a non-coding RNA of Phascolarctos cinereus (koala), 1265 nucleotides long. NCBI's taxonomy places the organism in Eukaryota, Metazoa, Chordata, Mammalia, Diprotodontia, Phascolarctidae. The record is from RefSeq and is a predicted model, not a curated record.